This 72-nucleotide transfer RNA is filed under the name bacterium. Its description in RNAcentral is "tRNA-Cys". It matches the Rfam family "tRNA". Rfam says of the family: Transfer RNA (tRNA) molecules are approximately 80 nucleotides in length. Their secondary structure includes four short double-helical elements and three loops (D, anti-codon, and T loops). Further hydrogen bonds mediate the characteristic L-shaped molecular structure. tRNAs have two regions of fundamental functional importance: the anti-codon, which is responsible for specific mRNA codon recognition, and the 3' end, to which the tRNAs corresponding amino acid is attached (by aminoacyl-tRNA synthetases). tRNAs cope with the degeneracy of the genetic code in two manners: having more than one tRNA (with a specific anti-codon) for a particular amino acid; and 'wobble' base-pairing, i.e. permitting non-standard base-pairing at the 3rd anti-codon position. The record is from RNAcentral.
GGCGACGUGGCCAAGUGGGAAGGCAGAGGUCUGCAAAACCUUUAUUCAGCGGUUCAAAUCCGCUCGUCGCCU